GAGCAGGGGCACCUCUAGGAACCUUCUUCACAUCAUAUUUAACCGAUGAGAAAGCACAGAUCACAGUGAGAAUCAUUGUAGGAUAAACAUAAACAGCUUUCCCAAGCCGAUUCCUUCCUUAACAAGAUCCAAAAUUACCAAAUGAUAUCAAUAUUUUGAAAUAAAAUACCAAGCUAGGAUACAAAAUAGACUAUCUUGCAGUCCAAAUUGAUUCCUCUAAAAUGGAUUCUCUGGUGCUCAGGAGGAUAUAGCAAAUUCUCAAAGUUAUCCCUUAGGCAAUUCCUUGAUCCAUUUUCUUAAUUGAUUUUAUAAGAAUAAUGGAAACAUUUCAAACCUAUGGAAAAGGCUACAUAUUAAUUCAAUUGAGAUCCAUAAACCAUAAUCCUUUCCUUCUACAGAAGAGCCCUUAAUUCGCAAGAAGUGGAAACACAUGAACAAAACGAGCAUUGGACCAAAGGUAUCAAUAAUAGCAAUAAUUUUGUUAUAUUUGUAAAUGUUUUGGUUUGUUUACCCUAUACUUUCGUUCUUCCCAAUUGUAAAAUAGAAUGAAUUUCAACAAAAGCCUGUAAAUAUGUAAAGGUGUUCUCUAACAAACUACAGACAAAAAAAUUAGUUUCUCAUCUAAAAAAAGAAGAGGGUAAAGAAUUUUUAGUGUAAUUAUCUUCAAGAAUAAAGAACGAUUCUUUUCAUGGAUGUAGGCUUUGUUUGUCGAACUACAGUUAAAACUGUGUAGCAUCUCUUCUAACUCCCUUAUAUUCGUAUUGUUGUGUGUGUGCAUCAUCUACUCACCAAACCGUAAAGAAACAAAUUAGGGUUUGUAAUGGGAGUGAAGAAGAAGGAAGAAUAAAAGAAAGAGGUAUUUUCUUUUCAUUCCUUCCCCCUUUUCUUUAAUUCGUAACUUGCCGUGAACCACGUGUAUGGCUGACCACCAACAAAGGACGUGGCUUCAUCCCCUCUAAGUCUUGUGCUACAAGAUGUCUAUCACUUCCUUGGGCCUAAUUCAAAAUAGAAAAGCCCAACACCAUUAAUAUGUACUUUAUAAUUUAACAUUUUCCUUUUUUGUUAUCGGCUAUCAACAUCAAAAUUGAGAGCUACGUUGGUUUUGGGUUUGGGUUUGGGUCUGUGUAGAUUAAUAUAUAAUAUAUUCAUUCGAACUCUUACAAAAAUUGUUCCUAGAAGACAUUCUUCAAGAAAAUAUAUAUAUAUAUUAUUCUUUCUUAAAAACAAACUUAAAGUUUCCUGAAAAAACAAUCAACCCAUUUUAGAGUAACUAUGGCUUUUGUAUUAAAUUUCUCAAACAAGUAUAUAUAUGUAAGAAAAUAAUGAACGUUGAUGGUUGUUAGGGUCCGUAGAAGAGUGAUCGUACCUAGUUUAAGCACAUUCCCACCUAAUGAUUUUUUUUUCUGAAACUAUGCGUGUAGAUGCACCAAAGUAUCUUCACUACUUCUACUAUGUAUCUUCCUUAAAAUAUUACUUUCAUAUAUGUAUUUAAAAUUUUGUUCACAUUUUUAUAAUAAUGCGAAUUAUUAUAUUCAUUUAAACAAAAUAAAUUCCAAUAAUUGACACUAACUUCAAAUUUUGUUUUAAACUAACAAUAAUAUCAUAUAACCAAAUAUAAAUAAUAAAUUAAUACACCAUUCAUCUCAUGCACAUGUUUUAUAAUAAUAGUAAUUAUAUUAUAAAAUACCCAUAAGUACUCUCUAAACUUUUAGUGGAUGCAUAAUAGUAGAUAAAUGGUUUGAAGGAGCAACCUUAUUGGAAAGGUUGUUUGUUAAAUUUUUUAAAUACAAUACAAUAAACUAAAAUAUUUACGAGAUAACAAAAUUUUGGAUUUUAUAUAUGAUAGAAACGGAUAGACUUCUGCUACUGUUCAUCAAUAAUACUAAUAGAAAUAUAUUAGUGUUUAUGAAUGUGUAUUAUUGAUAGAAUUUGAAACUUUUUUUAUAUGUUGUAAAUAUUUUGUCAAAUUUGUUAUUUUUGACAAUUUUCUAUUAAAUAAUUGUGUAACAUCUUUCAGCAACAUGCUCGUAAGCUAUCAUCCUCACACGCCAUUUUAAAACCUCUAUAUAUGAUGAUUCUCGAUAAAUCUAAAUACCAACAAUAGUUUAUAAAUCCUAGAAAUUAUAAAAUUUAUGUAACCAAGCUAAGUUCGAUGACGGUGACUAAACGUUAAUUUUCAUUUUAGAAAAUCUUAGGUACUAACAGUAACAGUUAUAUAAUUAAAACAUAAAGCUAAGUUGCUUUCGUGUGUGUGUGUGUAUAUAUAUAUAAUAUGACAUUAGUAGAAUAAUAAUAAGUAUUAUUGGAAGUAAUAUUAUAAAAUUUCUUAGUAGCUAAAACAAAUCAUCAAUAUGAAAAUAGUUAAUAUAAGCAUACGUCCCAAAUAUUUUAUAAUACUAAUAAUUUUUAUUAUUUUAUUCUAUAAAAUACUCAUCAUUACCUCCUAUAUUUUGAAAUGUUUCAAUUUUAUUACGUAGACUUCAAUAUGAGAUAUAUAUUCUAAUAUGGUUGUAAAAUGUACAUAGUACGUAUGAAAGUCUAUUUAGGAUUUUAUUGGUUUACAAUAUAUACUCCUCUAGCUAACAUUUUUCAACAAUGUAGCAAAUACAAAAUAUAAAGGGAUAGUGAAAGCGUAAGGGAUAGCUUAGUUAGGAAAUGUAGAGAUAGCGGAGAAU
This 2675-nucleotide long non-coding RNA is filed under the name Cucumis sativus (cucumber). Its description in RNAcentral is "long non-coding RNA (CSAT_LNC000761)". Lineage: Eukaryota; Viridiplantae; Streptophyta; Magnoliopsida; Cucurbitales; Cucurbitaceae. The record is from RNAcentral.